UCUCACUGAAACCACCAAUGGAAGAGCAGUGCAAAUAGGUUGUCAGGUAGGAUUGUUUCUCCAAGAGUGACUAAUCUUAUAUCUGCUAUGAAGGUUCAGAGGCAUGCAAAGGACAAAGAAGAUGCCGCCCAUCAGGAGGAAAUAGAUCGAUUCUGCUGCACCAACCCUGAACGGAUCCUGAUGUUAGCAUUAGCAGACAAGGACACCAACGGAAUCAUAUCCCGUUGUGUGCAUAUGGGAAAUAAUUGCAAAUUCACAUGCAGCAUUAAGAAGUAAUACAGAGAUUCUAUAUAACCUUCACCCAAUUUCUCCCAAAGUCUGCCACAUCUUUUGUUAGUAGUCCCAGCCAACCUACCAUCUGAAUGGAGUCAUUAAUGAGCCCAGAAAAAAUUACCAAGAGGAGUCCAGAUCACCAGAACCCAGUUGGUCCAAACAUCUGUUAAAAAAACACCAAGAAUAUGCAGAAGCUAUUAAAAUUUCCAGAAAGAAAGUGGUGACUUAUGAAGAAACAAGAAUCAGACUGAAACACUUAACAAGCAACUCUGGAUCUCAGAAAGAAAUGUUUCAGUAAUGUUUUCACUGGACUUAGAAAAAAGAAAACGUUUUAAUCUAAAUUCUGAAACCAGCCAAGUGUCAAUCAGGGCAAAAUUAAAGAACUUUUUAGAUAUUCAGGGCCUCAGAAAGGUUUACCUUUCAUGUGCUCAUUGUUACACUGUGCAUGUACUUGACAGUAAUAAAAGGUGAAGAAAAAAUGUAAAAAACGGUACAUAAAAUGGGGUUUUCCUGCCUUCUAAAUUGUACUUAACCUGAUGCAAUUACAUUUACAGAAAAAUACCUAAAACCUCCUAUGUGGAUUCAUGAACAUGGAUGAAUUUAUAUAUCUGAUAAAAUAUUCAGAAUUCAUAACAUCUGGGGGAUAAAUGCACUUUGUAAAGGUAAUCUUGGUUUAAACAAGAUUAAACAGGGUUUGGGGGGGGCAGAAAAGAAGUGUUUAAUUCAUGAAAUAAAAUA
Miniopterus natalensis is the source of this 1011-nucleotide non-coding RNA. NCBI's taxonomy places the organism in Eukaryota, Metazoa, Chordata, Mammalia, Chiroptera, Miniopteridae. The record is from RefSeq and is a predicted model, not a curated record.